CAAAGCCUUACUCACCACCAGAGAAUUCAUACUGGAGAAAAGCCAUACAAAUGUAAAGAAUGUGGCAAGGCUUUUAAUUCAAAAUAUCACCUUAGUGAACACCAGAGAAUCCAUACUGGAGAAAAGCCAUACAAAUGUAAAGAAUGUGGCAAGGCUUUUAAUCAUAAAUCACAAAUUUAUCAUCACCAGAGAAUUCAUACUGGAGAAAAGCCUUAUAAAUGUAGAGAAUGUGGCAAAGCUUUCAAUCAAACAUCAAACCUUACUAAACACCAGAGAAUUCAUACUGGAGAAAAGCCAUACAAAUGUAAAGAAUGUGGCAAAGCUUUUAAUUCAAAAUUUCACCUUACUGAACACCAGAGAAUCCAUACUGGAGAAAAGCCAUACAAAUGUAAAGAAUGUGGCAAAGCUUUCAAUUGCAAAUCACCCUGUACUCGACACCAGAAACUUCAUACUGGAGAAAUGCCAUACAAAUGUAUAGAAUGUGGCAAAGCUUUUAAUCGAAAAUCACAAUUUACUCAACACCAGAGAAUUCAUAGUGGAGAAAUUUCAUACAAAUGUAAAGAAUGUGGCAAGGCAUUUAAUCGAAAAUCUUGCCUUACUCAACACCAGAGAAUCCAUACUGGAGAAAAUUCAUACAGAUGUAAGGAAUGUGGCAAAGCUUUUAAUAAAAAAUCACUUCUUACUCAACACCAGAGACUUUGUACUGUAGAAAAGCCAUACAAAUGUAAAGAAUGUGGCAAAGCUUUCAAUGAAAAUUCAUUCCUUACUCAACACCAGAGAAUUCAUACUGGAGAAAAGCCAUACAAAUAUAAAGAUUGUGGCAAAGCUUUUAAUAAAAAAUCACUUCUUACUCAACACCAGAGACGUUGCACUGUAGAAAAGCCAUACAAAUGUAAAGAAUGUGGCAAAGCUUUCAAUGAAAAUUCAUGCCUUACUAAACACCAGAAAAUUCAUACUGGAGAAAAGCCAUACAAAUGUAAAGAAUGUGGCAAAGCUUUUAAUUAUAGAGAAAGCCUUACUCGACACCAGAGAAUUCAUACUGGAGAAAAGCCAUAUAAAUGUAGAGAAUGUGGCAAAGCUUUUAAUCAAACAUCAAACCUUACUAAACACCAGAGAAUUCAUACUGGAGAAAAGCCAUACAAAUGUAAAGAAUGUGGCAAAGCUUUCAAUUGCAAAUCACAUUGUACUCGACACCAGAAACUUCAUACUGGAGAAAUGCCAUACAAAUGUAUAGAAUGUGGCAAAGCUUUUAAUCGAAAAUCACAACUUACUCAACACCAGAGAAUUCAUACUGGAGAAAUGCCAUACAAAUGUAAAGAAUGUGGCAAGGCUUUUAAUCAAAAAUCAUGCCUUACUCAACACCAGAGAAUCCAUACUGGAGAAAAGUCAUACAGAUGUUAAGAAUGUGGCAAAGCUUUUAAUAAAAAAAUCACUUCUUACUCGACAUCAGAGACUUUGUACUGUAGAAAAGCCAUACAAAUGUAAAGAAUGUGGCAAAGCUUUCAAGGAAAAUUCAUGCCUUACUAAACAGCAGAAAAUUCAUACUGGAGAAAAGCCAUACAAAUGUAAAGAAUGUGGCAAAGCAUUUAAUUAUAGAGAAAGCCUUAAUCAACACCAGAGAAUUCAUACUGGAGAAAAGCCAUACAAAUGUUAAAAAUGUGGCAAAGCUUUUACUCAAAAAUCACAUCUUACUGUACAUCAGAGAAUUCAUACUGGACAAGAGACAUAAAAAUGUAAAGAAUGUGGCAAAG
RNAcentral lists this long non-coding RNA (1751 nucleotides) under Marmota monax (woodchuck). Lineage: Eukaryota; Metazoa; Chordata; Mammalia; Rodentia; Sciuridae. The record is from RNAcentral.